Molecule: long non-coding RNA, 1029 nt
Filed under: Ananas comosus (pineapple)
Lineage: Eukaryota; Viridiplantae; Streptophyta; Magnoliopsida; Poales; Bromeliaceae
Description: long non-coding RNA (ACOM_LNC037762)
Source: RNAcentral
CCGAUUGUCGAUUUGGAGGCUCUAUUAUCGAAAACAAAAUAGGUGGCAACGGUACCCAUUUGCUAUUGAUAACGUUCCAGCUCAACUUAUAUAGGGUUGAGCAUAUAUAGAGUCCACCUGGGGUGCUUCUAAUAGCAUCAAGCGCUUAGUGUAAUAGGUUGAAAUUUGAUUAGAGGCUAAUUGUGAUCAAAGUGGUCACAAUAAUGCUAAAAUGGAAAUGAAGUGUUUCUGAAUUUAAUUAGUAGCUUGAGAACAGCAAGUGACAGGUUUUGGAAAUUUGAGAAUAGAUAAGAAUGGAAUUGGAGUGGCUAAAGACCUCCAAUUGCUAUUGCUACUCUAAAGCUGAAAUUUUUAGUCGAUUUGGUCAAAAUGAUCAAAUUAAUACAAAAUUGAAAAUUAAUUGCUUUCAAAUUAAUUUGAUAACUUGUGGAAGUGUGUUAGUACGUCUUGGAAGUGUUUAAGUGGUCUCGGAAUGAAUUAGAUGCGUGACAAAGGCUUCAAAUUGCUGCUGCCAGGUUCUGGUUAGUGCAGGGACUGCAUUGUAAGUCUGCAGGGACUAAACUGCGAACUAUAGGGACUGAAUUGUAAACCUGUAGGUUACAAUGCAAUUUCAGCAUUUAGGAGGGUUAAGUAGCAAUUUUUCAGUCUUAUCCCUUAAUCCCAGUUAAUCUGAAGGUGAACACGUAUUGGAACACCCCUCCACCAGCUUGUUCUUAUCCCUUUUUCUCCUCUCUUUUUCUCUCAGCCUUAGGAGCAGAGUAGUGAAGAAAAGGCUUCAGGGAGUUGAAUUGUUGCUGUUGGAGGUAAGCAAAACCUGGUGGGAGUUGCAAGAAAGGUCAUUGAAGCUGAGAAUAACCAGAGAAAGUACUUAAUCGAGGUAAGCUUAAUUGAUAUUUGAUUGUAACCAAGUUAGUUACCUUAGAGAAGAUAUUGAUGAAGACUUCAUUGCUGUCAGAACUAGUAACUUGGUGAAUUAAUGGGCUGAGUAGAGCUACCUUGUGGAGCCCUUGAGGAUCUGAGCUGAGAGAG